GAUGACGGCCUUCGGGUUGUAAACCUCUUUUAUCAGGGAAGAAGCGAGAGUGACGGUACCUGCAGAAAAAGCGCCGGCUAACUACGUGCCAGCAGCCGCGGUAAUACGUAGGGCGCAAGCGUUAUCCGGAAUUAUUGGGCGUAAAGAGCUCGUAGGCGGUUUGUCGCGUCUGCUGUGAAAUCCCGAGGCUCAACCUCGGGCCUGCAGUGGGUACGGGCAGACUAGAGUGCGGUAGGGGAGAUUGGAAUUCCUGGUGUAGCGGUGGAAUGCGCAGAUAUCAGGAGGAACACCGAUGGCGAAGGCAGAUCUCUGGGCCGUAACUGACGCUGAGGAGCGAAAGGGUGGGGAGCAAACAGGCUUAGAUACCCUGGUAGUCCACCCCGUAAACGUUGGGAACUAGUUGUGGGGUCCAUUCCACGGAUUCCGUGACGCAGCUAACGCAUUAAGUUCCCCGCCUGGGGAGUACGGCCGCAAGGCUAAAACUCAAAUGAAUUGACGGGG
Molecule: ribosomal RNA, 501 nt
Filed under: Microbacterium aerolatum
Lineage: Bacteria; Bacillati; Actinomycetota; Actinomycetes; Micrococcales; Microbacteriaceae
Description: bacterial SSU rRNA
Rfam family: Bacterial small subunit ribosomal RNA
Source: RNAcentral